UACAGAGGGUGCAAGCGUUGUCCGGAUUUAUUGGGUGUAAAGGGUGCGUAGGCGGGACGAUAAGUCCGAGGUGAAAGCCCGUAGCUUAACUGCGGAACUGCCUUGGAUACUGUCGACCUUGAGUCCCGGAGGGGUGGCUGGAAUUCCUGGUGUAGCGGUGAAAUGCGUAGAUAUCAGGAGGAACACCGGAGGUGUAGACGGGUCACUGGACGGGUACUGACGCUGAGGCACGAAAGCGUGGGGAGCAAACAGG
Molecule: ribosomal RNA, 253 nt
Filed under: uncultured bacterium
Lineage: Bacteria
Description: partial 16S ribosomal RNA
Rfam family: Bacterial small subunit ribosomal RNA
Source: RNAcentral